GAUGAAGAACGUAGCGAAAUGCGAUAAGUAGUGUGAAUUGCAGAAUUCAGUGAAUCAUCGAAUCUUUGAACGCACAUUGCGCCCCUUGGUAUUCCAUGGGGCAUGCCUGUUCGAACGUCAUUUGUACCUUCAAGCUCUGCUUGGUGUUGGGUGUUUGUCUCGCCUCUGCGUGUAGACUCGCCUUAAAACAAUUGGCAGCCGGCGUAUUGAUUUCGGAGCGCAGUACAUCUCGCGCUUUGCACUCAUAACGACGACGUCCAAAAGUACAUUUUUACACUCUUGACCUCGGAUCAGGUAGGGAUACCCGCUGAACUUAAGCAUAUCAAUAAGCGGAGGA
Molecule: unclassified non-coding RNA, 337 nt
Filed under: soil metagenome
Description: partial contains 5.8S ribosomal RNA, internal transcribed spacer 2, and large subunit ribosomal RNA
Rfam family: 5.8S ribosomal RNA (bases 1-120)
Source: RNAcentral